GCCUUCAUGGUGUAGUGGUCAUCACAUUCGGCGGGUAUUCGAGAGGUCCGUGGUUCGAGUCCCGGUGAGGGCA
Molecule: non-coding RNA, 73 nt
Organism: Stegodyphus mimosarum
Lineage: Eukaryota; Metazoa; Arthropoda; Arachnida; Araneae; Eresidae
Source: Rfam